Molecule: ribosomal RNA, 497 nt
Filed under: uncultured bacterium
Lineage: Bacteria
Description: partial 16S ribosomal RNA
Rfam family: Bacterial small subunit ribosomal RNA
Source: RNAcentral
GACGAACGCUGGCGGCGUGCCUAAUACAUGCAAGUAGAACGCUGAAGAGAGGAGCUUGCUCUUCUUGGAUGAGUUGCGAACGGGUGAGUAACGCGUAGGUAACCUGCCUUGUAGCGGGGGAUAACUAUUGGAAACGAUAGCUAAUACCGCAUAACAAUGGAUGACCCAUGUCAUUUAUUUGAAAGGGGCAAAUGCUCCACUACAAGAUGGACCUGCGUUGUAUUAGCUAGUAGGUGAGGUAACGGCUCACCUAGGCGACGAUACAUAGCCGACCUGAGCGGGUGAUCGGCCACACUGGGACUGAGACACGGCCCAGACUCCUACGGGAGGCAGCAGUAGGGAAUCUUCGGCAAUAGGGGCAACCCUGACCGAGCAACGCCGCGUGAGUGAAGAAGGUUUUCGGAUCGUAAAGCUCUGUUGUAAGUCAAGAACGAGGGUGAGAGUGGAAAGUUCACACUGUGACGGUAGCUUACCAGAAAGGGACGGCUAACUACGUG